GACGGAGGAUGCAAGCGUUAUCCGGAAUCACUGGGCGUAAAGCGUCUGUAGGCGGUUUAAUAAGUCAACUGUUAAAUCUUGAGGCUCAACCUCAAAAUCGCAGUCGAAACUAUUAGGCUAGAGUAUAGUAGGGGUAAAGGGAAUUUCCAGUGGAGCGGUGAAAUGCGUAGAGAUUGGAAAGAACACCGAUGGCGAAGGCACUUUACUGGGCUAUUACUAACACUCAGAGACGAAAGCGAGGGUAGCAAAUGGG
This 253-nucleotide ribosomal RNA is filed under the name uncultured bacterium. RNAcentral's name for it is "partial 16S ribosomal RNA". It matches the Rfam family "Bacterial small subunit ribosomal RNA", at positions 524 to 776 of the family's 1533-position model. The record is from RNAcentral.